RNAcentral lists this long non-coding RNA (1853 nucleotides) under Gallus gallus (chicken). Its description in RNAcentral is "lncRNA (ENSGALG00010027523.1)". Lineage: Eukaryota; Metazoa; Chordata; Aves; Galliformes; Phasianidae. The record is from RNAcentral.
CCGCGCUCCGGGGGCUGCGGUGUACGGGAGCCCCCCCGGAGCCUCGGCGGGUGGGUGAACCUCGGGGACCGCGCGCCCUUAACGCUCCACUCGCUGUUUUUUGUUUUUUUUUUUUUUUUUCUGAGCUGGAAACGAUUAAAAAGCGAAAGCGAAGGAGGGGAGCGGGUCUGCCGGCAGGGUGUGCUGCCGCCCCAGCGAAGGGACGCGCGAGAAAAUCCCCGGAGCUGCCCCGGAGCAGCCUCACGCGAGCUCGGCUGCAGCUCCACGCCCGCGUCGCGCUCUCCGAACUCUUCGCCGCGCUCGAAGCUCACCGCCCCGCGCCGCGUCCCCCGGCUGCGCAGCGUCCCGUGGCCACCGGAGCCUGGCGAGAAGCCGUGCCAAAGCCCUCUGCCCUCAGGAAGAGCCUCCCACCACCGGGCUUUAAGCUCCCAGCCAUCCCGAGCCAUUCCACGAUCCUAAGAAAGUUCCACACCACUGGGGGCUGCAGCAGCGGUGAGGCUGGGUGUUCAUCAGUAGGGCCCUCCCACUCCCAUCAAUGUCCUUCUCUGUCGCCGAGCCACUUGUCCGAGUCCCCUGGAGAGCACCAUCACCUCCCUGGCAGUAACAGAGCAAACUAUGAGGAUUCCCACCGCCAGCAACAUCAGGAGACGAAGGCCCUCCUUGACGAGGCCACUCAGCCACCCCGCGACCUUGAGCUAAUAACAGAAUAUCUAUGGCAGUGCGAUUCUGUAGCAAGGCAUGCCGUAAGCUGUUCUGGUCAAGCAGAAGCUGUUUGAGAAAGGAGAGUGCAACCCUUGCAGCAAGCGAGAAAAGCUCCGUGGGAUGCUCACAUUCAGGGGUUAGCAGAGCACGCUUCAUGCGAUCAGAGCGGUUAGAGAGUAAUGUUUCAAAGCUGCUCAAAGACCAAAAAGAUGUCCGGAGGCAAUGCCUUCGCAGAGCCAUUGCACCAUAUAGUCGAGUUGUUACCAUUUGCAGCUGCGCCAUAGGCAGCCAAACCUGUCUUCUUGAUGUAUUGGUGCCACAGUAAUCACAAGCAUCCCGUAAGUAAAUUUGCCACGGCUAGAUACAGUAGUGCAAGAGGUCCAAUUCAGCCCUUUAUAAGGAUUUAGGCCCUGCUGGGUAUUACUGAAUACAAAGCAGGUCUGGGUCCAAUUCUGUGACGUGUUCCCUAUCGCCUGCGACCCCAUAAGUUACGGUUCCUGGGGAUCCCAAGGCAGCGAGACAUUUCAUCCAGCAAUCAGUUCAGUGGAGCAUCCCAGACUGUGUAGAAGCCGCUGUAGAGCCGGGGCAGAGAGCUGUUGGCAUCGAUGAGGCACAGCGGGGUCUGCUGAGGCCCCCCCCCCCCCCCCAACAGGCUGCCCCACGCCAGCUUCUGCAGCUCGAUGGGCAUCACGGUGUAGGGCAGUGCUUCUCAGUGUAGCCCUGGAAGCCCUGCACUGCCAUGGAGAGCACCGGGUGGAGGCGGCUGUGGCGCGGUCCGGGCUCGGGCCAGGGGAGGCUGCGGGUGGCCGUACAGCGGGGGCUCGUAUGGCCUUCAAGGUGUUGGCAGCAGCACGCCACACCGGUCCCAGAGGCUUCAGCAACUCCUCGUCCUUCCCCCCAGAUAUCACACAGUCCCACGUAUGAUCUCCUAUAUCACGCCAUUCUGAAGCACCGAACAUCAGUGCCACCUCCAUGAGGUAUUCAAGUCAUCGAGCCCAUUUUACCAGCUCCGACGGGCCUUUAGGAGACACUUGCUCCCCUUUCUUAGAGAGGAUAGUUAGGAGCGGUUUCUCUGUAGCUUCCCACUCUAUCGUGGGGGCAGAGGGCAGGGAGGGACCCCGCUUCCAGCUACCGUGACACUUACAGCACUG